AUUGUAAUCUCUGCUCAGUCAGUCCAUGGUUCUAGCAAUUUGUUCCUGUUUCCCCUUGCCUGAUGCUGUUUUCCUCUCCACUACAGUUCUGCCUGCUCUGACUCUGGUCCUGUCCCCAGUCCGACAUCUCGUCAGUCCUGCUACUCUGUCCUGGAUUCCCCAGACCACCCUACGCUGUCUACUUUGACUAACCCUUCCUCCUGGAGUGCUCUGCUACUCUGGGUGGAAUAUGCCCACAACAUCCUCAUCAAUGCCUCGUCAGCAGCACCUCCACCCCCUCGGCUCAUCGAUGAAAAUCCUGCCUAUACAGUCUGCCGGCUUUUGGAUGUGCACCGUCCUGGUUGCGGCUAGCAGUAACCGGUGGACUGGGAGGGAUAAGGGGCCGAGGAGCGCUGCUGGGCGCCCCGCCAUCACAUUCUGGACUCAGCACCUGGUUUCCAGCAACCCGCCCGAGCUUCCCCUGGCCUGCAGUCAAUUUUCCCCCUGUAUUUCAAUAAAUACCUUGGUUACCUCA
Molecule: long non-coding RNA, 514 nt
Organism: Oncorhynchus keta (chum salmon)
Lineage: Eukaryota; Metazoa; Chordata; Actinopteri; Salmoniformes; Salmonidae
Exons: 2
Source: RefSeq, a predicted model, not a curated record